This 353-nucleotide ribosomal RNA is filed under the name uncultured bacterium. RNAcentral's name for it is "bacterial SSU rRNA". It matches the Rfam family "Bacterial small subunit ribosomal RNA", at positions 8 to 350 of the family's 1533-position model. The record is from RNAcentral.
AGAGUUUGAUCAUGGCUCAGGAUGAACGCUAGCUACAGGCUUAACACAUGCAAGUCGAGGGGAAACGACAUCGAAAGCUUGCUUUUGAUGGGCGUCGACCGGCGCACGGGUGAGUAACGCGUAUCCAACCUGCCCACCACUUGGGGAUAACCUUGCGAAAGUAAGGCUAAUACCCAAUGAUAUCUCUAGAAGGCAUCUGAAAAGAGAUUAAAGAUUUAUCGGUGAUGGAUGGGGAUGCGUCUGAUUAGCUUGUUGGCGGGUAACGGCCACCAAAGCAACGAUCAGUAGGGGUUCUGAGAGGAAGGUCCCCCACAUUGGAACUGAGACACGGUCCAAACGUCCUACGGGAGGCA